AAAUGCAAGUCGAGCGGAGAGAGGUAGCUUGCUACCGAUCUUAGCGGCGGACGGGUGAGUAAUGCUUAGGAAUCUGCCUAUUAGUGGGGGACAACAUUUCGAAAGGAAUGCUAAUACCGCAUACGUCCUACGGGAGAAAGCAGGGGAUCUUCGGACCUUGCGCUAAUAGAUGAGCCUAAGUCGGAUUAGCUAGUUGGUGGGGUAAAGGCCUACCAAGGCGACGAUCUGUAGCGGGUCUGAGAGGAUGAUCCGCCACACUGGGACUGAGACACGGCCCAGACUCCUACGGGAGGCAGCAGUGGGGAAUAUUGGACAAUGGGCGCAAGCCUGAUCCAGCCAUGCCGCGUGUGUGAAGAAGGCCUUAUGGUUGUAAAGCACUUUAAGCGAGGAGGAGGCUACUUUAGUUAAUACCUAGAGAUAGUGGACGUUACUCGCAGAAUAAGCACCGGCUAACUCUGUGCCAGCAGCCGCGGUAAUACAGAGGGUGCAAGCGUUAAUCGGAUUUACUGGGCGUAAAGCGCGCGUAGGCGGCUAAUUAAGUCAAAUGUGAAAUCCCCGAGCUUAACUUGGGAAUUGCAUUCGAUACUGGUUAGCUAGAGUGUGGGAGAGGAUGGUAGAAUUCCAGGUGUAGCGGUGAAAUGCGUAGAGAUCUGGAGGAAUACCGAUGGCGAAGGCAGCCAUCUGGCCUAACACUGACGCUGAGGUGCGAAAGCAUGGGGAGCAAACAGGAUUAGU
This 735-nucleotide ribosomal RNA is filed under the name Acinetobacter calcoaceticus. RNAcentral's name for it is "bacterial SSU rRNA". It matches the Rfam family "Bacterial small subunit ribosomal RNA", at positions 53 to 782 of the family's 1533-position model. Lineage: Bacteria; Pseudomonadati; Pseudomonadota; Gammaproteobacteria; Moraxellales; Moraxellaceae. The record is from RNAcentral.